UACGAAGGGGGCUAGCGUUGUUCGGAAUUACUGGGCGUAAAGCGCGUGUAGGCUGCUUCGCAAGUCGGAUGUGCAAGCCCUGGGCUCAACCCAGGAAGUGCAUUCGAAACUGCAGAGCUGGAGUCCUGGAGAGGAAGGCGGAAUUCUCGGUGUAGAGGUGAAAUUCGUAGAUAUCGAGAGGAACACCGGUGGCGAAGGCGGCCUUCUGGACAGUGACUGACGCUGAGACGCGAAAGCGUGGGGAGCAAACAGG
This 253-nucleotide ribosomal RNA is filed under the name uncultured bacterium. RNAcentral's name for it is "partial 16S ribosomal RNA". It matches the Rfam family "Bacterial small subunit ribosomal RNA", at positions 524 to 776 of the family's 1533-position model. The record is from RNAcentral.